GGAACGAGUUAUCUGAACCUUCGGGGAACGAUAACGGCGUCGAGCGGCGGACGGGUGAGUAAUGCCUGGGAAUAUGCCUUGAUGUGGGGGAUAACUAUUGGAAACGAUAGCUAAUACCGCAUAAUCUCUUCGGAGCAAAGAGGGGGACCUUCGGGCCUCUCGCGUCAAGAUUAGCCCAGGUGGGAUUAGCUAGUUGGUGAGGUAAGGGCUCACCAAGGCGACGAUCCCUAGCUGGUCUGAGAGGAUGAUCAGCCACACUGGAACUGAGACACGGUCCAGACUCCUACGGGAGGCAGCAGUGGGGAAUAUUGCACAAUGGGCGAAAGCCUGAUGCAGCCAUGCCGCGUGUAUGAAGAAGGCCUUCGGGUUGUAAAGUACUUUCAGCAGUGAGGAAGGUGGUGUACUUAAUACGUGCAUCAUUUGACGUUAGCUGCAGAAGAAGCACCGGCUAACUCCGUGCCAGCAGCCGCGGUAAUACGGAGGGUGCGAGCGUUAAUCGGAAUUACUGGGCGUAAAGCGCAUGCAGGUGGUUUGUUAAGUCAGAUGUGAAAGCCCGGGGCUCAACCUCGGAACUGCAUUUGAAACUGGCAGACUAGAGUACUGUAGAGGGGGGUAGAAUUUCAGGUGUAGCGGUGAAAUGCGUAGAGAUCUGAAGGAAUACCGGUGGCGAAGGCGGCCCCCUGGACAGAUACUGACACUCAGAUGCGAAAGCGUGGGGAGCAAACAGGAUUAAUACCCUGGUAGUCCACGCCGUAAACGAUGUCUACUUGGAGGUUGUGGCCUUGAGCCGUGGCUUUC
RNAcentral lists this ribosomal RNA (798 nucleotides) under uncultured Vibrio sp. RNAcentral's name for it is "bacterial SSU rRNA". It matches the Rfam family "Bacterial small subunit ribosomal RNA", at positions 68 to 847 of the family's 1533-position model. Lineage: Bacteria; Pseudomonadati; Pseudomonadota; Gammaproteobacteria; Vibrionales; Vibrionaceae. The record is from RNAcentral.